Molecule: long non-coding RNA, 377 nt
Filed under: Equus caballus (horse)
Lineage: Eukaryota; Metazoa; Chordata; Mammalia; Perissodactyla; Equidae
Description: lncRNA (ENSECAG00000054059.1)
Source: RNAcentral
CACUUCCUAGCCACUUCCCAGUGCUAUUUCUAAGUGUUCUGAAUCUUUUAUUUCCUUCCCACAGUCACCUUAUGAGUAGGUGUGGGGUUGAAAAGAGAAAAGGAGUCUAGAGAAGAGCUGAGAGGAAGAAGAUGGAAGACCGCUGAGCUCUAUCUUUCCCACCUGUCUGUCCCCAGUGCCUACCACACUCGCAAGAGAAGAAUGAUGAAGGGGUCAGAGAGGAGGGGAUGAGAAAGGCAGGCCUCCCCCAUUUAUAUUUUAGUCUGGCCACUCAGGUCAUCACUUAUUGCUGGCUCACCCAUGCUCCUGAGGAAUGGCAAUGUCCGCUUCCUUUGUCUGCCAUGUCUUUUCUCUGCGUAGACACCUGAUAACAUCCU